GACGAACGCUGGCGGCGUGCUUAACACAUGCAAGUCGAACGGAAAGGCCCUGCUUUUGUGGGGUGCUCGAGUGGCGAACGGGUGAGUAACACGUGAGUAACCUGCCCUUGACUUUGGGAUAACUUCAGGAAACUGGGGCUAAUACCGGAUAGGAGCUCCUGCUGCAUGGUGGUGGUUGGAAAGUUUCGGCGGUUGGGGAUGGACUCGCGGCUUAUCAGCUUGUUGGUGGGGUAGUGGCUUACCAAGGCUUUGACGGGUAGCCGGCCUGAGAGGGUGACCGGCCACAUUGGGACUGAGAUACGGCCCAGACUCCUACGGGAGGCAGCAGUGGGGAAUAUUGCACAAUGGGCGGAAGCCUGAUGCAGCAACGCCGCGUGCGGGAUGACGGCCUUCGGGUUGUAAACCGCUUUCGCCUGUGACGAAGCGUGAGUGACGGUAAUGGGUAAAGAAGCACCGGCCAACUACGUG
This 468-nucleotide ribosomal RNA is filed under the name uncultured bacterium. RNAcentral's name for it is "partial 16S ribosomal RNA". It matches the Rfam family "Bacterial small subunit ribosomal RNA", at positions 28 to 507 of the family's 1533-position model. The record is from RNAcentral.